UUCAUCUGCUAGAGUUACUGUUUUUUUCUAAUUUUUCAGUUAAUUACUAUAUGGAUAUAGAUAUAGAUUACAUCUCGAGUUGGUUCUGUAUAUAAACAGGAUGUGGUAACAGACAGCAAUGGAUUUCAGCAAGUCGAAGACUGCCUGAUUUCUCAAUGGAACCAACGAAUGAUUCUCUGUUAUCCAGCUUCUAUUUCGCGAUUAGCCAGUUAUUGACUCAGUAAAUGAUGAACAAACAGUGGUUAUAAUGAGACGUUAUUGGUCGACUCGUGGUGAAUAUGUUCCAUGGAAAAUGGCAAAGGACUGGUUUUAAAUAACUCAUCUACAGUAAACACAAAUCAACACACAUUUUCAAGAUCGAUGGUAAAAUGUGAGAAGUAAUUGAUCCCUGCUCCCUGGGAUUUAAACCACGGAAAUUAAAAAUAGAUCCAAGAUUUAAACCAGUUGUGUUGCCGUCUGUUUAUUGUAGCUUAACUUGUGUUUUCUGUCUCGUUUGACACGCCAUUGACACAAGAAACCCAAUUUUCCUGUCGAAUUAAGACAAGCUUAGAUAUUGUUUUUGAAGUCGCUAUCCACAUUAAAUGAGUUUUAUUCCCUCUCGAAUUGAGAUGUUUCACCAUGAUCUUUGUGUCGAUAGUCUGGAAAAAUGUUCUUCCGUUGUGGAAACUUGAAACAAAAUAAAACUUCUACACAAAAUAUGUAAAUAUGUUUUAAAUUAUCGUUGACAAUAUAUAUAUUUUCAUUUUAAGUUGACCUGUUCAAAAUUUCGACAAAAUUUGUUUUUAAGAUAACAUGAAUCGGGUGAGUUUCUGUUAUCCAUCCAUUUCGAUCCAUUUAUAUACCUAUUCACUUAUAAAAAUCACUUUGGGUUAACAAUUAGCAGUAAUUAUAGUUUAAAUACGUAGCUUAUAUUAAAAUUGAAUUAUUAACACAAGGAAGUCACUACCAAUCAAA
This is a long non-coding RNA of Patella vulgata (common limpet), 954 nucleotides long. RefSeq lists it as uncharacterized. Lineage: Eukaryota; Metazoa; Mollusca; Gastropoda; Patellidae. The transcript is spliced from 3 exons. The record is from RefSeq and is a predicted model, not a curated record.